RNAcentral lists this transfer RNA (2469 nucleotides) under Sus scrofa (pig). RNAcentral describes it as "lncRNA (ENSSSCG00005034331.1)". Lineage: Eukaryota; Metazoa; Chordata; Mammalia; Artiodactyla; Suidae. The record is from RNAcentral.
GCAUCUGAAUCUGAACUUGUAAUUGUUCACCAAGCUCCUGCGUGUAGGCGAGGUGGUCGGAGGGAAGGUCCCUCUUCUCCUGAACGUGCGGGCGCCUACGGAGGCUCUGGAACAUGUUUUUCCCGUGGGUUCGAACACUGACCCGUGAUCCCCCCAGGAGGCCCUUGUCUUGUGGGCUCGCGGGCAAGCCCAGCCCCCACCCAGGGUCCCACUGGCUGCAGCACCUGGGUGUUCAAUCCGGAACCUGCGCUCGGAUGGGCGUCACGCUUCCCGCAUCUCGCAGUCCCUGGGCCAGCCCUGCCCCCAGCACGGGUUGUGCGGCCUUUGGGGUCUGGCCGCCCCCAGCAGGGCACCGAGGGAAGCAUGCCCUGGACAGCAGCCCCAGGCCUGCUGCAGGUCGAGUGUGAGACCAGCGCCGCCGGAGGCCAGGGGCUGAGGUUUUUUCUUGUGUCUUUUCUUUUCAUUUUUUUUUAGAAAAGGGAAACAAGCUCUUUCGAGGGUGCCGCCACUCCAGCCCCGGGCCACUCUGCCGCCCUGGCUCACAUCUGGUCACUUGCUGGGGCACCUGCAGGGCCGUGGGGCGGGAAGGCGCAGGGAGUCCUGCUGCCUGGCGUCUCCUCGUGUGCGGCGGGUCGCCGAGGCCAGAGGUCGCAGGAGGGCAAUGGCUGCUCUUACUUACGCAGGCCUCAGGCUGCUGGGCCCUCUUCCCUUGGAGAGCAAAUGGGACAGUCUCUAAGAAGGGGAGGGCUUCCUGGCCUGGAAAGGGUUGGGGACGGGCUAGAGCUGCCCACACAGGCAGCCGGGGCAUUCCCUGGAGACCUGACUUUGGCCCUCCUGGGACUUGGGGGGCCAGGCUGGGGCAGAGGGCUCAGCCUGGGUCCUUCUGGACACGCCUGCUCCGCGACCGAGGAAAAUCCCAGAGGCCUGCCCAGCUCUGCUCGUUCUUUCAGAGCCGAUGCUCGGCCUGGGGGAAGCGAGGCUCACCCCCCUUUUGGGAGCUGGACACCUGCUGCCUCUGAUGGCCCUUGGCUGACGUGGGUCCUUGCUUCUAGGACAGAAAGGCUGGGGGGUUACCAAGGCACAGGUCUACCCAGGGCACAGCUGCAGAUGUGAUCUUGAAGGGCGGGCUUGUCCCCAAGAGUCUGGGUGGAGUGUAGGAAGCACAGCUCUACCAGAAGGACCACAGCAGUCUCUUCUGACCCCAACCUUCAGGAUUUCACACGGAACAGGGCCUGUGGCCAAGGCCGCCUUACAGGAGGUGGGCCAGCAGCCCGGGCGCCCCCACUUGAGGAUUUUCAAGGGGAAAGAAGCCCGGCCCUCUCGAGGUAGGAAACCAACACUUCAAAUUUCCUGCCACACUGAGACCCAGGAAAACUGCCACUCGGCCCAGAAGGGAGGUGGCCUCUCAGUGCCCCAGCCUCAACUCCCACAGACUCUGCUGGGUGCACAGCUCCAGGGUGUGGGGGCCCAGCCCCAGGACCUCUGCACCCCCACACCUGGCCCAGAGCCAGCAUGGAGCAGUUCUCAGAAAAGUGGGGGAUGGAUGGACAGAUGGAUGACGGGUGAACAGACAGAUGCCUGGUGAGAGGCCCCAGGGAGAGGAGCCGCUGGCUCUGCCGCCAGGGCUGAGCAGGCCAGCGGGGGCGGCCCUGCAGCUGUACUUACAGGGAUGUCUGCUGGAACAAGAGCCUGGAAGGCUUUUCAUUGACAUGGUAGAGAGGAAAUGGAUCAAAUCCACCAAUGAAAUCAACUGAAAGAAACCGAGACCCAAAUAAAACAAAGCCCGACGGUGGACAGGAUGGCAGAGGGGAGGGCAGAGCUUCCCGCGUGCCCUUCCCUCAGGCGGUGAUGGAGGUGGGAGGAGCCGCGGGGAGGAGGGCAGCCCGGACCUGGGGGCAGAGGGCGAGUUCCCACGGGGCAAGUGCUUCAAAGGACGGUGGUGCUCUCGGCAGCAGAUUGACACGGAUGCUCGGAGCCUGGGCGGCUCCACCGCGCCCUGCAAGGCUCUCGCAAGGACAGUGCCCUGAAGCUGCGUCCGCACAGUGCACGGCAGGCCGGGGCUCGCUGAGCAGAGCUCAUGCAUUUCUGAACCCCAAGGCUGGCUCCCUUCUUAAAACUUCCUUUUUUCUUUUUCUCUUUUUUCUGUGCCCACAGUAUGCAGAAGUUCCCUGGCCAGGGAUCGAGCCUGUGUCACAGCAGUGACAACACUGAAGCCUUAACCCUCAGUGCCACCAGGGAGCUCCUCUGAAACGUUCUGACGGGACGAAUGCAAGAGGCCCCUUCUCUUUCUUCCCAGCCAGCGGUGGGCUGAGCAAUGGUUUGAGGUCCCAUGGGGGCUGGUCCAGGAGUGGGUGGCCUCUAAAGGACACGUGGACCCCCUACUCUGUGCCCCCUGACCUCUGGGAAAGAGGCUCUGAAUUCCGAUUCAGAUCCCAGGGAAGGUUCUGCCUGAAGGAACCAUGAGCCCCC